This 231-nucleotide ribosomal RNA is filed under the name uncultured bacterium. RNAcentral's name for it is "partial 16S ribosomal RNA". It matches the Rfam family "Bacterial small subunit ribosomal RNA", at positions 99 to 334 of the family's 1533-position model. The record is from RNAcentral.
CGGACGGGGGAGUAAUGUCUGGGAAACUGCCCGAUGGAGGGGGGUAACUACUGGAACGGUAGCUAAUACCGCAUAACGUCGCAAGACCAAAGAGGGGGACCUUCGGGCCUCUUGCCAUCGGAUGCGCCCAGAUGGGAUUAGCUAGUAGGUGGGGUAACGGCUCACCUAGGCGACGAUCCCUAGCUGGUCUGAGAGGAUGACCAGCCACACUGGAACUGAGACACGGUCCAG